RNAcentral lists this ribosomal RNA (252 nucleotides) under uncultured bacterium. RNAcentral describes it as "partial 16S ribosomal RNA". It matches the Rfam family "Bacterial small subunit ribosomal RNA", at positions 524 to 776 of the family's 1533-position model. The record is from RNAcentral.
UACGGAGGGUGCGAGCGUUGUUCGGAAUCACUGGGCGUAAAGCGCGUGUAGGCGGCCCACUAAGUCUGAUGUGAAAGCCCGGGGCUCACCCCGGAAGUGCAUUGGAAACUGGUGGACUCGAGUCCCGGAGAGGAGAGUGGAAUUCCUGGUGUAGCGGUGAGAUGCGUAGAUAUCAGGAGGAACACCGGUGGCGAAGGCGGCUCUCUGGACGGUGACUGACGCUGAGACGCGAAAGCGUGGGGAGCAAACAGG